RNAcentral lists this ribosomal RNA (425 nucleotides) under uncultured bacterium. RNAcentral's name for it is "partial 16S ribosomal RNA". It matches the Rfam family "Bacterial small subunit ribosomal RNA", at positions 354 to 796 of the family's 1533-position model. The record is from RNAcentral.
GUGGGGAAUCUUGCGCAAUGGGCGAAAGCCUGACGCAGCCAUGCCGCGUGAAUGAUGAAGGUCUUAGGAUUGUAAAAUUCUUUCACCGGGGACGAUAAUGACGGUACCCGGAGAAGAAGCUCCGGCUAACUUCGUGCCAGCAGCCGCGGUAAUACGAAGGGGGCUAGCGUUGCUCGGAAUUACUGGGCGUAAAGGGCGCGUAGGCGGACAGCUUAGUCAGAGGUGAAAGCCCAGGGCUCAACCUUGGAAUUGCCUUUGAUACUGGCUGUCUUGAGUUUGGGAGGGGUGAGUGGAACUCCGAGUGUAGAGGUGAAAUUCGUAGAUAUUCGGAAGAACACCAGUGGCGAAGGCGACUCACUGGCCCAAUACUGACGCUGAGGCGCGAAAGCGUGGGGAGCAAACAGGAUUAGAUACCCCAGUAGUCC